Molecule: ribosomal RNA, 620 nt
Filed under: uncultured bacterium
Lineage: Bacteria
Description: bacterial SSU rRNA
Rfam family: Bacterial small subunit ribosomal RNA
Source: RNAcentral
CCUACGGGAGGCAGCAGUGGGGAAUUUUGGACAAUGGGCGCAAGCCUGAUCCAGCCAUGCCGCGUGCGGGAUGAAGGCCUUCGGGUUGUAAACUGCUUUUGUACGGAACGAAAAGACUCUGGUUAAUACCUGGGGUCCAUGACGGUACCGUAAGAAUAAGCACCGGCUAACUACGUGCCAGCAGCCGCGGUAAUACGUAGGGUGCGAGCGUUAAUCGGAAUUACUGGGCGUAAAGCGUGCGCAGGCGGUUAUAUAAGACAGAUGUGAAAUCCCCGGGCUCAACCUGGGAACUGCAUUUGUGACUGUAUAGCUAGAGUACGGCAGAGGGGGAUGGAAUUCCGCGUGUAGCAGUGAAAUGCGUAGAUAUGCGGAGGAACACCGAUGGCGAAGGCAAUCCCCUGGGCCUGUACUGACGCUCAUGCACGAAAGCGUGGGGAGCAAACAGGAUUAGAUACCCUGGUAGUCCACGCCCUAAACGAUGUCAACUGGUUGUUGGGUCUUCACUGACUCAGUAACGAAGCUAACGCGUGAAGUUGACCGCCUGGGGAGUAACGGCCGCAAGGUUGAAACGUUCAAGAAGUUGAGGCGNGAGAGNGCGACGACGACGACGAGGGAGGAGG